This 301-nucleotide ribosomal RNA is filed under the name uncultured bacterium. RNAcentral's name for it is "partial 16S ribosomal RNA". It matches the Rfam family "Bacterial small subunit ribosomal RNA", at positions 509 to 807 of the family's 1533-position model. The record is from RNAcentral.
CAGCAGCCGCGGGAAUACAGAGGGUGCGAGCGUUAAUCGGAUUUACUGGGCGUAAAGCGUGCGUAGGCGGCUAAUUGAGUCGGAUGUGAAAUCCCCGAGCUUAACUUGGGAAUUGCAUUCGAUACUGGUUAGCUAGAGUGUGGGAGAGGAUGGUAGAAUUCCAGGUGUAGCGGUGAAAUGCGUAGAGAUCUGGAGGAAUACCGAUGGCGAAGGCAGCCAUCUGGCCUAACACUGACGCUGAGGUACGAAAGCAUGGGGAGCAAACAGGAUUAGAUACCCCAGUAGUCCCUGUCUCUUAUAC